CGAGUUUGAUCCUGGCUCAGAUUGAACGCUGGCGGCAGGCCUAACACAUGCAAGUCGAACGGUAACAUUUCUAGCUUGCUAGAAGGUGACGAGUGGCGGACGGGUGAGUAAUGCUUGGGAACUUGCCUUCGCGAGGGGGAUAACAGUUGGAAACGACUGCUAAUACCGCAUAAUGUCUUCGGACCAAACGGGGCUUCGGCUCCGGCGCAAAGAGAGGCCCAAGUGAGAUUAGCUAGUUGGUAAGGUAACGGCUUACCAAGGCGACGAUCUCUAGCUGUUCUGAGAGGAAGAUCAGCCACACUGGGACUGAGACACGGCCCAGACUCCUACGGGAGGCAGCAGUGGGGAAUAUUGCACAAUGGGGGAAACCCUGAUGCAGCCAUGCCGCGUGUGUGAAGAAGGCCUUCGGGUUGUAAAGCACUUUCAGUUGUGAGGAAAAGUUAGUAGUUAAUACCUGCUAACCGUGACGUUAACAACAGAAGAAGCACCGGCUAACUCCGUGCCAGCAGCCGCGGUAAUACGGAGGGUGCGAGCGUUAAUCGGAAUUACUGGGCGUAAAGCGCACGCAGGCGGUUUGUUAAGCUGGAUGUGAAAGCCCCGGGCUCAACCUGGGAUGGUCAUUUAGAACUGGCAGACUAGAGUCUUGGAGAGGGGAGUGGAAUUCCAGGUGUAGCGGUGAAAUGCGUAGAUAUCUGGAGGAACAUCAGUGGCGAAGGCGACUCCCUGGCCAAAGACUGACGCUCAUGUGCGAAAGUGUGGGUAGCGAACAGGAUU
RNAcentral lists this ribosomal RNA (774 nucleotides) under uncultured bacterium. RNAcentral's name for it is "bacterial SSU rRNA". It matches the Rfam family "Bacterial small subunit ribosomal RNA", at positions 9 to 779 of the family's 1533-position model. The record is from RNAcentral.